Molecule: transfer RNA, 77 nt
Filed under: Clostridiales bacterium
Lineage: Bacteria; Bacillati; Bacillota; Clostridia; Eubacteriales
Also listed under: 2 other names
Description: tRNA-Pro
Rfam family: tRNA
About the family: Transfer RNA (tRNA) molecules are approximately 80 nucleotides in length.
Source: RNAcentral
CGAGGUGUGGCGCAGUUUGGUAGCGCGCUUGGUUCGGGACCAAGAGGUCGUGGGUUCGAAUCCCGUCACCUCGACCA